GAGAAUAUAGCCCAAUAGUAGAGUACAUGCCUAGCAUACAUAAGAUCCUGGGUUCCAUCCCCAGUAUUUCCA
Molecule: transfer RNA, 72 nt
Filed under: Camelus bactrianus (Bactrian camel)
Lineage: Eukaryota; Metazoa; Chordata; Mammalia; Artiodactyla; Camelidae
Also listed under: 2 other names
Rfam family: tRNA
About the family: Transfer RNA (tRNA) molecules are approximately 80 nucleotides in length.
Source: Rfam by way of RNAcentral